This 77-nucleotide transfer RNA is filed under the name Rickettsia parkeri. RNAcentral describes it as "tRNA-Val". It matches the Rfam family "tRNA". Rfam says of the family: Transfer RNA (tRNA) molecules are approximately 80 nucleotides in length. Lineage: Bacteria; Pseudomonadati; Pseudomonadota; Alphaproteobacteria; Rickettsiales; Rickettsiaceae. The record is from RNAcentral.
GGGUGAUUAGCUCAGUUGGUUAGAGCAUUACGUUGACAUCGUAAAGGUUGGUGGUUCGAGUCCACUAUCACCCACCA